CAUAUAAUUUCUUAUAUGGGGUAGACUAUACCUCAAGCCAUUAUAAAAAUGACCCAUUGACAUCUAGUCGUUGAAUAUCAUACUUGAUUAAAGUACUUAACUGCUGAUUAUCUAAAUUAUGAAAUUAUCACAUACAGUAUUCAUAAUUAUCUAGAUUUUCCAGCAAUUUGACAAUGUUGCAAGCAAAUGCUUACUAAUAGUUUAAACUAUUUUUGAACUCUAAUGGUUUAAAGUUCCCGC
RNAcentral lists this non-coding RNA (240 nucleotides) under Klosneuvirus KNV1. Lineage: Varidnaviria; Bamfordvirae; Nucleocytoviricota; Megaviricetes; Imitervirales; Mimiviridae. The record is from RNAcentral.